UACGUAGGGGGCAAGCGUUGUCCGGAAUUAUUGGGCGUAAAGGGCUCGUAGGCGGUUUCUUAAGUCUGAUGUGAAAGCCCACAGCUCAACUGUGGAGGGUCAUUGGAAACUGGGGAACUUGAGUGCAGAAGAGGAGAGUGGAAUUCCACGUGUAGCGGUGAAAUGCGUAGAUAUGUGGAGGAACACCAGUGGCGAAGGCGACUCUCUGGUCUGUAACUGACGCUGAGGAGCGAAAGCGUGGGGAGCAAACAGGAUUAGAUA
This 261-nucleotide ribosomal RNA is filed under the name uncultured bacterium. RNAcentral describes it as "partial 16S ribosomal RNA". It matches the Rfam family "Bacterial small subunit ribosomal RNA", at positions 524 to 784 of the family's 1533-position model. The record is from RNAcentral.